UGAAUAAUGUAUUUUCAGUGUAACAAA
Molecule: non-coding RNA, 27 nt
Filed under: Homo sapiens (human)
Lineage: Eukaryota; Metazoa; Chordata; Mammalia; Primates; Hominidae
Source: RNAcentral